This 1585-nucleotide unclassified non-coding RNA is filed under the name uncultured fungus. RNAcentral describes it as "sequence contains 18S rRNA gene, ITS1, 5.8S rRNA gene, ITS2, 28S rRNA gene". The stretch from base 516 to 1585 matches the Rfam family "Eukaryotic large subunit ribosomal RNA", at positions 1 to 961 of the family's 3401-position model. The record is from RNAcentral. Lineage: Eukaryota; Fungi.
GGAAGGAUCAUUCGCACUUCGAAAAUGAACACUGUGUAACUAUGGCUGAUAGCAAUGCUUUCAGUCCGGCGCUUAGGUGCCACCCUUAACUGUAACAACGGUAUUUUAUAAGUAACAGAAUUUUUUGAGACUCUAAGCGAUGGAUGCCUCGGCUCGGAGAUCGAUGAAGGACGCAGCGAAAUGCGAAAUGCAUUGCGAAUUGCAGAAUUCCGUGAGUCAACAGAUUUCCUAACGCGUAUUGCGCUGUCGUGGGGUUCCUUACGACGGCACGUCUUCCUCAGUGUUUUUGUUCAAUCUACCCAACUCCGCGGUGGAAUCUUCUGCUAGCUGCAGGUGAAGCGUGCUACUUCGUGGUGUGCUCAUAUGUCAUUGUAAAGGUUAUAAUAUCGAACCUAUUGCUAUAUUGUGUUUACUUCGGACGUUGCGAUUGAUGUGGUAUUUCCGCUCUUUCUGCGGCCGAUGUGGAAGCAUGUUAAUGUAGGGGAAGAUUUGUGCCUUUCAGCUAAUCGAACCAUCUAACCUGAGGUAGGCGAGGUUACCCGCUGAAUUUAAGCAUAUUAUUAGGCGGAGGAAAGGAAACUAACGAGGAUUCCCUCAGUAACGGCGAGUGAACAGGGAACAGCCCAUUACCGAAACUGGUUCCACUUGCAUUUCGGUGCUUGUUGAAUUUGAAAUGUGGUUUACGAGAGUUAUCCAGAUUUGCAAUUGGCGUUAAAUCCCCUGGAACGGGGUAUCAGAGAGGGUGAGAGUCCCGUCUGUUCACCGAUGUGCAUGUCGUACGGAUAAUUCUACUGGGAGUCGCGCUCCUUGGAAGUGGAGCGCAAAUGGGUGGUACAUUUCAUCCAAGGCUAAAUAUUGCUCCGAGACCGAUAGUGAACAAGUACCGUGAGGGAAAGGUGAAAAGGACUUUGAAAAGAGAGUUAAAUAGUGCCUGAAAUCGCUUAGGGGGAAGCGAAUGAGGUCUAUUCGUUCUGCCUGGAGUUCGCUUCAGGUUGAAGUCGAUAUCAGUUUUGGAUAUGGUGAGAAGCGGUCACGUUUGUCAGUUUGGGCGGCUUGCCGCUCUUUACGGUGGAGCGUGGCAUGCCUUCAACUAGUGGUCUAGACUGAGGAACCUGCAUUUGCUUGUUUUAUUGCUUGCUUAAGCAGCUCUGCGAUUGCGGUUAUGGCCAUUCGGUUCAUGUCUGUGGUUGUCGGGGUUGCUGGUAUGCAGUUCAAGCGAAUAGAGGAUAUCGGCGAUAUAUGAAUGGCCGCAUUCGACCCGUCUUGAAACACGGACCAAGGAGUCUAACGUGUGCGCGAGUAUGGGGGUGCCAAAACCCUCAAGCAUAAUGAAAGUGAGAUAUAUUCUACGUGUUGGUCACUCUUUUUAGGAAGAGAUUCUCCAAUAGCCGACCUUGAUCUUAGGUGAGAGGUUUGAGUCCGAGCGUACCCGUUAGGACCCGAAAGGUGGUGAACUAUGCCUGAGUAGGGUGAAGCCAGGGGAAACUCUGGUGGAGGCUCGUAGCGAUACUGACGUGCAAAUCGUUCGUCGAACUUGGGUAUAGGGGCGAAAGACUAAUCGAACCACCUAGUAGCUGGUUCCCUC